RNAcentral lists this long non-coding RNA (1312 nucleotides) under Setaria viridis. Its description in RNAcentral is "long non-coding RNA (SVIR_LNC006715)". The record is from RNAcentral. Lineage: Eukaryota; Viridiplantae; Streptophyta; Magnoliopsida; Poales; Poaceae.
AAUAAAGUAAAAGCCGAUCGGAAUGUGUUCCAAGCUGGAUAACUGUGAUAAAAGCUAAAACAACAAGAUUUAACAAAUAAAGCUUGCAGAUCUAGCAAAUAUCGAUAACUUGUGAAUAAAUCUAGAUGAAAUGAUAGCGAUGCACCCGAAGUUAAAGCCUAGAAAAUAUUUGGUAAAUGCAGAACUUACAGUCUACCCGAAGAUCGAAGAGAUGCAACCCAACUAGCUUGGAAGAACUCAUGAAGAAAAGAAAACAAUGGUGAAGUCGCCGACUUGAAAGUAAAUUGUGAAAAUAGUAGAUUUGUAUUGAUUAUGAUGUGUAUAUCCUCCCACACCUCGCAGGGCCCCCUAUUUAUACCCUAAACAUUAAGACUUCUAGUCCUAGUCGAUUAUGAGAAAACAUAAGAUUUAUCUCUAAAGAAACAAACCCUCUAAAUAAAACAAAAAUGACUCGCACAGGAGUCAGAAAUGAACUUGGUCUCCAUCGGCCAAAACCUUCUCUUCAUCGGCCGAACCUCCAACAUUUCCAAUUGGCUGGAAUCCUUCUGCUCGCAUCAGCUGACCCCAUCGGCUAUGCCCCUGUCAUCUUCCAUCGGCUAGGCUUUUGUCUUCCUCUAUCAGCAAGACAUUCGCCAUCAUCGGCCGAUCUCUUAUAACUUCAUCGACUGAGCCCUCUACAACCCCAUCAGCCGAUUCCACUAGCCGUUAUAUUUCCACUAUGCAUCAACAUCUCUGCUUCCUCUUGACGCCAUCUUUGACAUAUGUCAACAAACGGUGUCAACACAUGCCCCCCAGUUUCGGAGUGAAACAUAUCUUUUGCUUUGAAAUUAUCUCAACCAUGAUUUUGACCAAUAUUUACCAAUCACCAAGUAACAAAAUCUUUUCUGUUCCAAAAUUCUCUCAGUCAUGAUUGCCUAAAAAAGCAUCUGGGGGUAACAGCUCUUCGGGUUUCAUGCAGGUGGUGGAUGAGAUACCACAUUUACCCUCUCGGGUGAGUUUAUAAAUUUGCAGUCGUCGUCUUCUUCUUCCCCGCCGGUUCAUCUUCUCACAUUGUCAUACCAUGCUUCCUCUUUCCUCUAAGCGAAAGGCGACCUUCGACGAUUCCCGGCGACUAUCAACGAUCUCCAGCGACCAUCGGUGAUUCACUUGCUAAUCGCUUCAGAUUCCAAACCUCAAGCAACUAGUUCCAUGGCCACUCUUACCGCCGUCCCCGAGGUACACCUCUCUGCCUUCAUCAUUUUCCCUGUGCUUCUAUUUUUCUUUCCUUACUUAGCUGUUUUCGCAUUUCUCAGGAGCUUAGACAUAGAAUAAC